RNAcentral lists this transfer RNA (17 nucleotides) under Arceuthobium abietinum f. sp. concoloris. RNAcentral's name for it is "partial tRNA-Thr". The record is from RNAcentral. Lineage: Eukaryota; Viridiplantae; Streptophyta; Magnoliopsida; Santalales; Viscaceae.
GCUCGCUUAGCUCAGAG